This 449-nucleotide ribosomal RNA is filed under the name uncultured bacterium. RNAcentral's name for it is "partial 16S ribosomal RNA". It matches the Rfam family "Bacterial small subunit ribosomal RNA", at positions 29 to 523 of the family's 1533-position model. The record is from RNAcentral.
AACGAACGCUGGCGGCAGGCCUAACACAUGCAAGUCGAACGCCCUAGCAAUAGGGAGUGGCAGACGGGUGAGUAACACGUGGGAACCUUCCCUAUAGUAUGGAAUAGCCCAGGGAAACUUGGAGUAAUACCGUAUACGCCCGAGAGGGGAAAGAUUCAUCGCUAUAGGAUGGGCCCGCGUAGGAUUAGCUAGUUGGUGAGGUAAUGGCUCACCAAGGCGACGAUCCUUAGCUGGUCUGAGAGGACGACCAGCCACACUGGGACUGAGACACGGCCCAGACUCCUACGGGAGGCAGCAGUGGGGAAUAUUGGACAAUGGGCGCAAGCCUGAUCCAGCCAUGCCGCGUGAGUGAUGAAGGCCUUAGGGUUGUAAAGCUCUUUUGCCGGGGACGAUAAUGACGGUACCCGGAGAAUAAGUCCCGGCUAACUUCGUGCCAGCAGCCGCCGUAA